RNAcentral lists this ribosomal RNA (253 nucleotides) under uncultured bacterium. RNAcentral describes it as "partial 16S ribosomal RNA". It matches the Rfam family "Bacterial small subunit ribosomal RNA", at positions 524 to 776 of the family's 1533-position model. The record is from RNAcentral.
UACGGGGGGGGCAAGCGUUGUUCGGAAUUACUGGGCGUAAAGGGCUCGUAGGCGGCCAACUAAGUCAUACGUGAAAUCCCUCGGCUUAACCGGGGAACUGCGUCUGAUACUGGAUGGCUUGAGUUCGGGAGAGGGAUGCGGAAUUCCAGGUGUAGCGGUGAAAUGCGUAGAUAUCAAGUGGAACACCAGUGGCGAAGGCGAGUCCCUGGACAACACCUGACACUGAGGCACGAAAGCUAGGGGAGCAAACAGG